UUGGUUGGUUAUCCCACGAGCCACCUUUUUCCUUAUACAGCAAGUGAGAUCAGCGAACUUCGGGNCACUCGAGAAGGGGGNCGCGUCAAUCAUCAUGCCCUACGACUGGNUACACACGUGNUCCAUGGUACAACAAGAGAAGCAAACCGUAAGGNGGAGCAAACUCAAAAAGUGCUUCAGUUCGGAUUGUGGGCUGCAACCCGCCCACAUGAAGUGGNAGUUGCUAGUAAUCGCGGAUCAGCAUGCCGCGGUGAAUACGUUCCCGGNUCUNGUACACACCGCCCGUCACACCAUGGGAGUNGGGAGCGCCCGAAGCCAGUGAGCUAACCGUAAGGAGGCAGCUGUCGAAGGUGAGACCAAUGACUGGGGUGAAGUCGUAACAAGGUAGCCGUAUCGGAAGGUGCGGCUGGAUCACCUCCU
Molecule: ribosomal RNA, 420 nt
Filed under: uncultured bacterium
Lineage: Bacteria
Description: partial 16S ribosomal RNA
Rfam family: Bacterial small subunit ribosomal RNA
Source: RNAcentral